RNAcentral lists this ribosomal RNA (269 nucleotides) under Klebsiella pneumoniae. RNAcentral's name for it is "partial 23S ribosomal RNA". It matches the Rfam family "Bacterial large subunit ribosomal RNA", at positions 2674 to 2925 of the family's 2925-position model. Lineage: Bacteria; Pseudomonadati; Pseudomonadota; Gammaproteobacteria; Enterobacterales; Enterobacteriaceae. The record is from RNAcentral.
GCUCCUAGUACGAGAGGACCGGAGUGGACGCAUCACUGGUGUUCGGGUUGUCAUGCCAAUGGCACUGCCCGGUAGCUAAAUGCGGAAGAGAUAAGUGCUGAAAGCAUCUAAGCACGAAACUUGCCCCGAGAUGAGUUCUCCCUGAGACUAUAAGUCUCCUGAAGGAACGUUAAAGACGAUGACGUUGAUAGGCCGGGUGUGUAAGCGCAGCGAUGCGUUGAGCUAACCGGUACUAAUGAACCGUGAGGCUUAACCUUACAACGCCGAAG